This 504-nucleotide ribosomal RNA is filed under the name Tujamita plenalatum. RNAcentral's name for it is "partial large subunit ribosomal RNA". It matches the Rfam family "Bacterial large subunit ribosomal RNA", at positions 1814 to 2610 of the family's 2925-position model. The record is from RNAcentral. Lineage: Eukaryota; Metazoa; Arthropoda; Insecta; Coleoptera; Jurasaidae.
CAUGGCUUUUUGAAAAUAAUUUAAGGUUAAAUCUGCUCAAUGAAAAUUAAAUAGCUGUAGUAAAUUAACUGUACAAAGGUAGCAUAAUAAUUUGUCUUUUUAUUGAAGACUUGAAUGAAGGAUUAGACGGAAAUUAGACUGUCUCAUUAUUAGAGAAUGAAUUUUACUUUUUAGUUAAAAGGCUAAAAUGAAUUUCUUAGACGAGAAGACCCUAUAGAGUUUAAUUAAUAAUGUAUUAGCAAGUUGGGGGAGAAUAUAAAAAUUAAUUUGAUUGGGGUGGUUUCAGGAUUUAUAGAACUCCUGUUUAUUAAAUGAAGAUUUUUAGGAAAUUGAUUAGUUUUUUAGUAUUUUAGAUAAAAUUACCUUAGGGAUAACAGCGUUAAAUUUACUAGAGUUCAUAUUGAAAUAAAUUUUGCGACCUCGAUGUUGGAUUAAGAUAAAUUUUGGGAGAAGAAUUUCUUAGUUUAGGUCUGUUCGACCUUUAAAAUCUUACAUGAUCUGAGU